GAACGGGGAGCAGCCCGGAGUCUGAAUCAGCUUGUGUGUUAGUGGAACGGUCUGGAAAGUCCGACGGUACAGGGUGAUAGUCCCGUACACGAAAACACACUUGCUGUGAACUCGAAGAGUAGGGCGGGACACGUGGUAUCCUGUCUGAAUAUGGGGGGACCAUCCUCCAAGGCUAAAUACUCCUGACUGACCGAUAGUGAACCAGUACCGUGAGGGAAAGGCGAAAAGAACCCCGGCGAGGGGAGUGAAAAAGAACCUGAAACCGUGUACGUACAAGCAGUGGGAGCCUCUUUAUGGGGUGACUGCGUACCUUUUGUAUAAUGGGUCAGCGACUUAUAUUCUGUAGCAAGGUUAACCGUAUAGGGGAGCCGAAGGGAAACCGAGUCUUAACUGGGCGUUAAGUUGCAGGGUAUAGACCCGAAACCCGGUGAUCUAGCCAUGGGCAGGUUGAAGGUUGGGUAACACUAACUGGAGGACCGAACCGACUAAUGUUGAAAAAUUAGCGGAUGACCUGUGGCUGGGGGUGAAAGGCCAAUCAAACCGGGAGAUAGCUGGUUCUCCCCGAAAGCUAUUUAGGUAGCGCCUCGUGAACUCAUCUUCGGGGGUAGAGCACUGUUUCGGCUAGGGGGCCAUCCCGGCUUACCAACCCGAUGCAAACUACGAAUACCGAAGAAUGUUAUCACGGGAGACACACGGCGGGUGCUAACGUCCGUCGUGAAGAGGGAAACAACCCAGACCGCCAGCUAAGGUCCCAAAGUCAUGGUUAAGUGGGAAACGAUGUGGGAAGGCACAGACAGCCAGGAUGUUGGCUUAGAAGCAGCCAUCAUUUAAAGAAAGCGUAAUAGCUCACUGGUCGAGUCGGCCUGCGCGGAAGAUGUAACGGGGCUAAACCAUGCACCGAAGCUGCGGCAGCGACACUAUGUGUUGUUGGGUAGGGGAGCGUUCUGUAAGCCGUUGAAGGUGUGCUGUGAGGCAUGCUGGAGGUAUCAGAAGUGCGAAUGCUGACAUAAGUAACGAUAAAGCGGGUGAAAAGCCCGCUCGCCGGAAGACCAAGGGUUCCUGUCCAACGUUAAUCGGGGCAGGGUGAGUCGACCCCUAAGGCGAGGCCGAAAGGCGUAGUCGAUGGGAAACAGGUUAAUAUUCCUGUACUUGGUGUUACUGCGAAGGGGGGACGGAGAAGGCUAUGUCAGCCGGGCGACGGUUGUCCCGGUUUAAGCAUGUAGGCGGAGGUUCCAGGUAAAUCCGGUACCUUUUAACGCUGAGGUGUGAUGACGUGGCACUACGGUGCUGAAGUGAUAAAUGCCCUGCUUCCAGGAAAAGCCUCUAAGCAUCAGGUAACACGAAAUCGUACCCCAAACCGACACAGGUGGUCAGGUAGAGAAUACCAAGGCGCUUGAGAGAACUCGGGUGAAGGAACUAGGCAAAAUGGUGCCGUAACUUCGGGAGAAGGCACGCUGAUGUGUAGGUGAAGCCCCUGCGGGCGGAGCUGAAAUCAGUCGAAGAUACCAGCUGGCUGCAACUGUUUAUUAAAAACACAGCACUGUGCAAACACGAAAGUGGACGUAUACGGUGUGACGCCUGCCCGGUGCCGGAAGGUUAAUUGAUGGGGUUAGCGGCAACGCGAAGCUCUUGAUCGAAGCCCCGGUAAACGGCGGCCGUAACUAUAACGGUCCUAAGGUAGCGAAAUUCCUUGUCGGGUAAGUUCCGACCUGCACGAAUGGCGUAAUGAUGGCCAGGCUGUCUCCACCCGAGACUCAGUGAAAUUGAACUCGCUGUGAAGAUGCAGUGUACCCGCGGCAAGACGGAAAGACCCCGUGAACCUUUACUAUAGCUUGACACUGAACACUGGUCCUUGAUGUGUAGGAUAGGUGGGAGGCUUUGAAGCGUGGACGCCAGUCUGCGUGGAGCCGCCCUUGAAAUACCACCCUUUAAUGGCUGGUGUUCUAACGUAGACCCGUAAUCCGGGUUGCGGACAGUGUCUGGUGGGUAGUUUGACUGGGGCGGUCUCCUCCCAAAGAGUAACGGAGGAGCACGAAGGUUGGCUAAUCCUGGUCGGACAUCAGGAGGUUAGUGCAAUGGCAUAAGCCAGCUUGACUGCGAGCGUGACGGCGCGAGCAGGUGCGAAAGCAGGUCAUAGUGAUCCGGUGGUUCUGAAUGGAAGGGCCAUCGCUCAACGGAUAAAAGGUACUCCGGGGAUAACAGGCUGAUACCGCCCAAGAGUUCAUAUCGACGGCGGUGUUUGGCACCUCGAUGUCGGCUCAUCACAUCCUGGGGCUGAAGUAGGUCCCAAGGGUAUGGCUGUUCGCCAUUUAAAGUGGUACGCGAGCUGGGUUUAGAACGUCGUGAGACAGUUCGGUCCCUAUCUGCCGUGGGCGCUGGAGAAUUGAGGGGGGCUGCUCCUAGUACGAGAGGACCGGAGUGGACGCAUCACUGGUGUUCGGGUUGUCAUGCCAAUGGCACUGCCCGGUAGCUAAAUGCGGAAGAGAUAAGUGCUGAAAGCAUCUAAGCACGAAACUUGCCCCGAGAUGAGUUCUCCCUGAGACUUUAAGUCUCCUGAAGGAACGUUGAAGACGACGACGUUGAUAGGUCGGGUGUGUAAGCGCAGCGAUGCGUUGAGCUAACCGAUACUAAUGAACCGUGAGGCUUAACCUU
This 2652-nucleotide ribosomal RNA is filed under the name Enterobacter cloacae. RNAcentral's name for it is "bacterial LSU rRNA". It matches the Rfam family "Bacterial large subunit ribosomal RNA". The record is from RNAcentral. Lineage: Bacteria; Pseudomonadati; Pseudomonadota; Gammaproteobacteria; Enterobacterales; Enterobacteriaceae. RNAcentral also lists the same sequence under 1 other name.